This 253-nucleotide ribosomal RNA is filed under the name uncultured bacterium. Its description in RNAcentral is "partial 16S ribosomal RNA". It matches the Rfam family "Bacterial small subunit ribosomal RNA", at positions 524 to 776 of the family's 1533-position model. The record is from RNAcentral.
UACGAACUGUGCAAACGUUAUUCGGAAUCACUGGGCUUAAAGGGUGCGUAGGCGGCUCGUUAGGUAGGGUGUGAAAGCCCCCGGCUCAACCGGGGAAUUGCGCCCUAAACCGGCGGGCUGGAGUGAGAUAGGGGUGUGUGGAACUGCCGGUGGAGCGGUGAAAUGUGUUGAUAUCGGAAGGAACGCCGGUGGCGAAAGCGACACACUGGGUCUCAACUGACGCUGAGGCACGAAAGCCAGGGGAGCAAACGGG